CUGCAUGGCUGUCGUCAGCUCGUGUCGUGAGAUGUUGGGUUAAGUCCCGCAACGAGCGCAACCCUCGCCUUUAGUUACCAUCAUUUAGUUGGGUACUCUAAAGGAACCGCCGGUGAUAAGCCGGAGGAAGGUGGGGAUGACGUCAAGUCCUCAUGGCCCUUACGCGCUGGGCUACACACGCGCUACAAUGGCGGUGACAGUGGGCAGCAAUCCCGCGAGGGUGAGCUAAUCUCCAAAAGCCGUCUCAGUUCGGAUUGUUCUCUGCAACUCGAGAGCAUGAAGGCGGAAUCGCUAGUAAUCGCGGAUCAGCAUGCCGCGGUGAAUACGUU
This 329-nucleotide ribosomal RNA is filed under the name uncultured bacterium. RNAcentral's name for it is "bacterial SSU rRNA". It matches the Rfam family "Bacterial small subunit ribosomal RNA", at positions 1041 to 1372 of the family's 1533-position model. The record is from RNAcentral.